GAUAGUAUAUCAGGCUAUCAAUAACAUUAUAUCACUGAUCAAUAGGCCCUGCAUUAAACCAAAACUCUUUCUGAAGUGAGAAUCUCUUCUUUAUCUGCCAAAAUUCAUGAGGAAGAAACACCAGGAAAUACUUCAAUCUGUAUUCCCUUGCCAAAGAUGAUAUACCUUUCCAAGUGGCAUAGCUCCAGGGAAGAUAUUUGGUUGUUAGAAACUUUCAGUGACCACAGAGGAUUUUUAACUAAAUAGAGCAAAAAGCACAAAGCAGUAGCCACAAUACUGAGGUUAAGCAAACAUUUGUACUCAACCCAUCAGAAAGAUUCAGUCCCAUAUAUAUGUCACAAUGGCUGUGAUUCUCUACUGCAAAGCUUGUGGACAUAGAGACACUGCCUUUGUGGAGGGUAGGAUGCCAGAAAGAAGAGAGAAGGAGAUUGUUGAGUGGAACUCUAAUGUUCCCGAACAGUGAUCUGUGUGUGUUUUCAA
Molecule: long non-coding RNA, 480 nt
Organism: Pan troglodytes (chimpanzee)
Lineage: Eukaryota; Metazoa; Chordata; Mammalia; Primates; Hominidae
Exons: 3
Source: RefSeq, a predicted model, not a curated record